GGAAGGGUCGCAUAGCUGGUCUAGUGCGCCGCACUCGAAAUGCGGUAUGCCGCAAGGCAUCGUGAGUUCGAAUCUCACCCCUUCCGCCA
Molecule: transfer RNA, 89 nt
Filed under: bacterium
Lineage: Bacteria
Description: tRNA-Ser
Rfam family: tRNA
About the family: Transfer RNA (tRNA) molecules are approximately 80 nucleotides in length.
Source: RNAcentral